This 345-nucleotide unclassified non-coding RNA is filed under the name soil metagenome. RNAcentral's name for it is "partial contains 5.8S ribosomal RNA, internal transcribed spacer 2, and large subunit ribosomal RNA". The stretch from base 1 to 120 matches the Rfam family "5.8S ribosomal RNA", at positions 35 to 154 of the family's 154-position model. The record is from RNAcentral.
GAUGAAGAACGCAGCGAAAUGCGAUACGUAAUGUGAAUUGCAGAAUUCAGUGAAUCAUCGAGUCUUUGAACGCACAUUGCGCCCCCUGGUAUUCCGGGGGGCAUGCCUGUCCGAGCGUCAUUGCUGCCCUCAAGCACGGCUUGUGUGUUGGGCCUCCGUCCUCCUCCCGGGGGACGGGCCCGAAAGGCAGCGGCGGCACCGCCUCCGGUCCUCGAGCGUAUGGGGCUUCGUCACCCGCUCUUGUAGGCCCGGCCGGCGCUUGCCGACACAUCAAUCUUUUUUCCAGGUUGACCUCGGAUCAGGUAGGGAUACCCGCUGAACUUAAGCAUAUCAAUAAGCGGAGGA